This is a non-coding RNA of Xyrichtys novacula (pearly razorfish), 477 nucleotides long. NCBI's taxonomy places the organism in Eukaryota, Metazoa, Chordata, Actinopteri, Labriformes, Labridae. The record is from the annotation of a GenBank genome assembly.
UGAAGACAAACCGGUAUGUACGAACUGAACAAUGUGCAUGUUCUCGAUUAAGACACGUGCGUGAGUAGGACGUCCCGCACAUGUCAUUUCUAUCCUGUAAAGCAUAUUUCAUGUGAACAAAAGCCAACGUUCAUGAGAAAAAUGACUUUACCUCGUGAAGGAUAUAGCGCCAUAAUAGUAAACAUUACAUAAUCCUCUGCUCUGUGUGUAGUAGAACACCAGACUCACGCUGAGACAGACAGACAUGCGGGAUCCCACAGAACCAGCGCCCCCUGUCGGUGCGUCCUGAGCCAUGGGUGCUGAUCAAUCAUUCCAGCUCAGCCUAAAGAGAGAAGAAGAGUGGUGGACACUUGAAAAUCAGAGGUUGUUUUGAUUUGGUGAAAUAUACGGUAAAUAUUUACUGGAAUAAUUUCCUUUGUGUGUGUAUGUGUGUGUGCCUUUAUGCGCGUGCAUCAGUGCAGAGAGACAGAGAGGGAC